This 407-nucleotide ribosomal RNA is filed under the name uncultured bacterium. RNAcentral describes it as "partial 16S ribosomal RNA". It matches the Rfam family "Bacterial small subunit ribosomal RNA", at positions 30 to 526 of the family's 1533-position model. The record is from RNAcentral.
AUUGAACGCUGGCGGCAGGCCUAACACAUGCAAGUCGAGCGGAGCGGCGGACGGGUGAGUAAUGCCUAGGAAUCUGCCUGGUAGUGGGGGAUAACGUCCGGAAACGGGCGCUAAUACCGCAUACUAUCAGAUGAGCCUAGGUCGGAUUAGCUAGUUGGUGGGGUAAAGGCCUACCAAGGCGACGAUCCGUAACUGGUCUGAGAGGAUGAUCAGUCACAUUGGAACUGAGACAGGGUCCAGACGCCUACGGGAGGCAGCAGGGGGGAAUAUUGGACAAUGGGUGAGAGACUGAUCCAGCCAUGCCGCGUGUGUGAAGAAGGCCUUAGGGUUGUAAAGUACUUUCAGCGGGGAGGCGUUACCCGCAGAAGAAGCACCGGCUAACUCCGUGCCAGCCGCCGCGGUAAUUC